UGACACUGGAAAUAGAUUCACGCAUGUAUACCCAUGUAUUAUAGUAUAGCACACCGGAACAAAGCCCUAAAAUUUUUGAGAUUGGUUGACGACUUCCUAUGCGGAACCACUACCGACCGCUACCGCGACCACAGGGGAAACGGCUGUUCUUUUUGUUUCCCCUGAUCACAUCGUCGUCGCGAUAGUCGGUAGAGAGGCAAGGGAGCAUGCGUCGCAAGCACACCCAUUCUUAUUGCGGUGAACGCGCGCAGAGUAUUUUAAACAUUUCAUCGAUUUUGUCAAUCUUGAAAUGGGGAGGGACUGGGGCGUAAGUGUUACGACGUUCGUUUCGUUUUCAUUUGUCGUUUUUCUUUCGUUCAUUUUUUAAAUGUUUGUUUCAUUGGAUUGGAAACUCACGUGCCAUCGCGCGAUGCGAGCGUGUAUAUCAUGUAUUUCGUAUGAGGGGACAUCCACAAUUCUUACUAUACGUACGUGUGGUUACGUAGGGAUGUGUAUAGUGAAGGUGGGCUGCCGUUUCCAGAGAGGUGAGGUCGUGGAACGUCUGCGAAUUUUCCACAGAGAAAUUUUGUAGUUAAUUGUAAAAAUCCAACUACUUUUUUAAAGAGGAAAAUGCAUGCACGAGAACGACCUAUUGUUCAGUUAGAUGGUAACCGCUAGCAUAACGUGUGCGUGUGCGUGUGCGUGUGUGUGUGUUUGAGCGUGUGCGUGUGUGUGUGUGUGCGUGCGUGCGUGCGUGCGUGCGUGCGUGCGUGCGUGUGUGUGUUUGAGCGUGUGCGUGUGUGCGGGUUUGUACGCGCGCGGGUGUAUGAAAAGAUACAACUAACACAAUUACUAGUUUAAUAUUGGUCUUAUAAUGACAAGUAAUAUAAUAUCAGUUGUCUAAA
Priapulus caudatus is the source of this 884-nucleotide long non-coding RNA. RefSeq lists it as uncharacterized. NCBI's taxonomy places the organism in Eukaryota, Metazoa, Priapulida, Priapulimorpha, Priapulimorphida, Priapulidae. The record is from RefSeq and is a predicted model, not a curated record. The transcript is spliced from 2 exons.